This 1470-nucleotide long non-coding RNA is filed under the name Anas platyrhynchos platyrhynchos (common mallard). Its description in RNAcentral is "lncRNA (ENSAPLG00000022128.1)". Lineage: Eukaryota; Metazoa; Chordata; Aves; Anseriformes; Anatidae. The record is from RNAcentral.
AGGGAGUUGCUGAAGCUGCCUGGGUGAUCCCGGGUGGCACGGGCACGAACAGAGGCAUCGGGAUGAAGAGGAAGGAAAGAAAGGAUGGAGCUUCCCAAAUGGAAGGGGCCGGGAUUUUGGAGAUGCCCUGCUCGGGGUCCCUCGGGAGCCCUGGCAGAGGACGUGCAUCCUUAUCUCAACCUGUGCUGCCUGUUCUGCCACGGUGUCCUCACACAGCUCUCGGCAGCCCCAGCAGGCUGUGGGUCCAGAUUUGGGAGCAGGAGAUGCUUCCCUGCUCCCCUGCGUGCCCCAAACACCGCUGCCCCAAAUCCUGCUCUCUGCUCGCUGAUGCAACCGGAGCAAUGCUUGCAGCACAUUUGCUGCCACUGCGGUGGGUUGUCUGGAAUAAACCCGCUCAAACAAUCAUCACUUUGAUUCUCAACAAAAGAAAGGAGCCGGCUGAGUUAAAUGCCUCCCUUCUGAUGUUCUGUUUGGUUAUUUUGCUUUCAAGAAAAAUAAAUACCCCGUCGGCAUGUUUAUAGCGUCGAUUUGGUAUUGCAAACACAAGGCUAAACGGGAGAACAAGGCAGUUCAGGGAGAGAAGAGAAGAGAAGAGAAGAGAAGAGAAGAGAAGAGAAGAGAAGAGAAGAGANNNNNNNNNNGAAAUUCGCCCAACUCAGCCACCUCCUCUCAAGCAGAAUUGUUUCUUACAGUUUCUUACAGCCCCGUCCCCAGGCUGCCCCCAGCCCCUGUACCCCAGCAAAUUUUGGGAUUUGUUCCCGGCCAUCUCGCUUUGUGCCAUCACCGGCCUGUUGGCACCUCCUGCCCCAAAUCCAUAGGGACACCCCACUGGGGCUCACCCCAAAACCUCUUUUUUAGGUUGGUGUGGCCACGUGCACUCCCCCCGGUGCCCACCCCGAGCCCCCCAUCCCCACCCCAGCAUCCAGGGGGCUCCGGGGCCGUCGAUAGCGGCGCUGGCAAUCCCGGAGCACCACGGGGUGACGGCUGCUCUUCUUCCCUAGGGCUCGUGUGGAUGCGCCGGCAUCUCUGACAGCAUAAUCCUCUGCCUGGUGUCAUCAUUAUGGAAACAAGCUGUAAAUCUUCCCUUGAUGUUAUGUAGAUCCCGCAUCGCUUGCCUCACGGGAACAGCCAGCGUUAAGAAAUAGGGUGUCGAACAUAAAGAUUACCGUAUUGCAAGCACUAAUUUGGGGAGGGAGCUGUCUCCUCCUUCCCCCUUCUCAUCCCCCGGCAAAGCCAUCGAGCAGAGGAGGGGGGAGAGCACUGCGAAUUAAGGGACGCCGUUCGGCAAAGUCACUGCUUGGCGAUUUCCAUCAUGAUUUUGCUGACCCAUGGGCUCCUUUGCUCGCCGCUGCUCCCCGACCUGUCACCAUCACACCUGCUCCCGUUUCAUUUUGCUCAUCCCAGCCGACUCCACGGGUCGCUGCGGGUCGGUCCCGGCUGCUCCGAGUGCUUCCACUCGCCCCCUCUCCC